GGGGCGACACGCGGGAGUCUGGGCGAGGGCUGGAUCCGUGAUGAUCCCUCCUCUUCAGCUAGAAAAAUGACGAUGUUCAGGAACUUAAAACUUCUUCUCUGGAAGAAUUUCAUUUUAAAGGUUCCACCUCCGUGAAGGCAGAAGACUAUGUGUGUUUUGUUCAUACACUGUGCCUGGCAC
Molecule: long non-coding RNA, 180 nt
Organism: Lagenorhynchus albirostris (white-beaked dolphin)
Lineage: Eukaryota; Metazoa; Chordata; Mammalia; Artiodactyla; Delphinidae
Exons: 3
Source: RefSeq, a predicted model, not a curated record